Acanthosepion pharaonis is the source of this 114-nucleotide non-coding RNA. Lineage: Eukaryota; Metazoa; Mollusca; Cephalopoda; Sepiida; Sepiidae. The record is from the annotation of a GenBank genome assembly.
UACGGUUAUAUCACGUUGAAACGCUGGUUUCCGUAAGAACACUGAGGUUAAGCAGCGUCAAGACAGCGUUAUUACCUAGACGGGUUACCGCUUGGGAAUACCAGGUGUUGUAAG